GAAAUGUGAGGGCCAAGAAGAAGCUGCUAACUUCUAUCUUUAGCGGUUAAAUUCCGUUUACAUUUCU
This 67-nucleotide transfer RNA is filed under the name Sinacroneuria dabieshana. RNAcentral's name for it is "tRNA-Ser". Lineage: Eukaryota; Metazoa; Arthropoda; Insecta; Plecoptera; Perlidae. The record is from RNAcentral.